This 200-nucleotide ribosomal RNA is filed under the name uncultured bacterium. RNAcentral describes it as "partial 16S ribosomal RNA". It matches the Rfam family "Bacterial small subunit ribosomal RNA", at positions 29 to 258 of the family's 1533-position model. The record is from RNAcentral.
AGCGAACGCUGGCGGCAGGCCUAACACAUGCAAGUCGAACGAGCCUUCGGGCUAGUGGCGGACGGGUGAGUAACACGUGGGAACGUACCUUUAGGUUCGGAAUAACUCAGGGAAACUUGAGCUAAUACCGAAUGUGCCCUUCGGGGGAAAGAUUUAUCGCCUUUAGAUGGGCCCGCGUUGGAUUAGCUUGUUGGUGAGGU